GUGCCAGCCAGUCAUUGCUGUUCUUUGCAUUGCUGAGGAGGACAGUCCUGCCAACAAAACAGUUUGUUCAAUAACAGGAGACAAACAGAAACACAGAGGUGCUAUACAUUCCGAUUGAAAAGACAACAAAAGCAUCUCCCAUCAUUUUGGCGUGGCUCAGAUCAAGAGGAGAAUUUUAAGAAAGGUGAUGGUUGGGCACACACAAGAAGACAUAGAUCACAUGUGUCCAGGCAUAUGAGUAGACAGGAGUUUCACACUCUGCCAAACUUACUUCAUCAGAGGAGCAGAAAGCUUCUCAAGAUCCCGCACUGCACACUUAGAUAAAGUCUUUGACUACAACAAGGGGAUGAAAGUACAGAGAGGUCCAAUUGAAAUCAAUUCUGUGCUGCGUCAUUUCUUCAUUCUGGAAGUCGAUGGACAUGAUUUAUCAUGGCAUCAGGUGUGCAGUUUGUCGACUAUCAGCAGUCUUGUUCACCAGUUGUGCAACUUGAGCUGGUAGCUUUAUUGCUUGAAGCCACAGCAUAAGAGGGGGAAGGUGCAGGCUCAUCAAAAAGUCUCAAAAGUUGAAACUAGGAAAAGAAGUUUGUCAAGAGUGUGAAUCUAUUUGCUUUGAAAACCAUCGUUACGAUGAUUUGGUUUCCUUUGAAACUUGAUACAUAAUAUGUGUAUGUUGAAUGAAUUGAGAUGCUUAAAUAAAGAACCGCUAUUCAAAUAUCAGGAAACUGCAUUUUUCAUACUAAAGGGUAAAUGAUGUCGCCAUUUCCUGUAUGUAUUUAAAUGAGAUAUGUUUCCACAAUUAAUAUUUUUAGGGAAUUUUUCUCAUCCUAAUGAAUGAGAUUAAAUUGUACAGCGUUAUAUGAGCUUAAUAUGUGUUUUCUGUUUCUUUAAAAUUGGUGAAAAAUUGUCAGAAGAUAAUUAGACCAGUAUCCAUUACUGCAAUCAUACAAUCAAAUAUACAGGGACAAACCAACUGGGCAUAUAAUAUAAUUAAACCCUGUUUAGGGGCACGAGGCAAACAGAGUUACUUUCAAACGUUAAAGCUGCACUCUCACAUUUUGGACGUUUUGACAACUUUUCUCAUUUUAUGUCUUGGAUUGGAAACAUCCAAUUUUUGCGAAAAAUUAAAUGGCAGAUUUUUCUAUUUAAGUUAAAACAUUGAUGUUUUAUGCACUUUUCUUAAACCGUUAGUAACAUUAAUUUUCGAACGGAAAUAUGAAAUCUGUGAUCUGAUCUUUUGUCAGCAAUCUUUUAUCAUUGGUUUGCAGAUAAUUACGCAAAAAAUUGCUCAUUCAAAAACAAAAAAAGUUGUGAAAACGGUAUAUCUGUGGGAGUGCAGCUCUAAAUGUUUAAUUUCUUGAUUUUACUACUGUAUUAGA
Mya arenaria is the source of this 1376-nucleotide long non-coding RNA. RefSeq lists it as uncharacterized. The transcript has 3 exons. Lineage: Eukaryota; Metazoa; Mollusca; Bivalvia; Myida; Myidae. The record is from RefSeq and is a predicted model, not a curated record.